GGAUAACCGUAGUAAUUCUAGAGCUAAUACAUGUAUAAAGUCUUGUAGACUGCAUUUAUUAGAAUGAAAACCAUAGGUUUCGGCCUAUUCGUGAGUAAUAAUAACUAAUCAUAUCGUAUGCUUAAGUAACGAUGUGUCUUUCAAGUUUCUGCCCUAUCAGCUUUCGAUGGUAGUGUAUUGGACUACCAUGGCAUAACGGGUAACGAAAAUUGGGUUCGAUUUCGGAGAGGGAGCCUGAGAGUGGCUACCACAUCCAGGAAGGCACAGCGCGUAAUUACCCAUCCUGACCAGGAGGUAUGACAAUAAUCACAAUGCG
RNAcentral lists this ribosomal RNA (316 nucleotides) under Blastocystis sp. RNAcentral's name for it is "SSU rRNA". It matches the Rfam family "Eukaryotic small subunit ribosomal RNA", at positions 141 to 476 of the family's 1831-position model. Lineage: Eukaryota; Bigyra; Opalinata; Blastocystidae. The record is from RNAcentral.